GUAGUUAAGAAGCAGGUCCAACAGUGGGACAGUGAAGUGCAGAUGACUCUCCAGGGUGUUUUGACUGCACACAAUGGGAGGUGCUCACUGAGGGCAACACUUUAGAGGAGGCCACAGAUGUUGUAACAUCAUACAUCACCUUUUGUGUAGAGAUGCUGGUUCCAACAAAAAACGUUAAAGUAUUUUCAAACAAUAAGCCCUGGAUAACUAAAUCACUGAAAACAACCCUGAAUGAAAAGAAAAUAGCAUUUAAUUCAGGAAACAAGCUAGAAGGUAAAUUAAUUCAAAACAGACUGAACAGAGAAAUUAAAACCGCCAAGAGAACUUAUAAAGAUAGGGUGGAGAGACUUUUUAACAAUGGAAAGGCUAGAGAGGCCUGGCAGGGCGUUAAAACCCUGACCGGGCUCCCCUCCAAAUUCACCUCAUCUGGGCUUUCUGCUGAGGUGUGUGUCCGCAUGGCAGAGGAUCUUAACAUCUUUUAUUGCAGGCAUGAUCAGUGUGAUCACACACAGGAGAGGGAGACGCUCUCUGCAGAGCUUGUCUCUAUGUCCCAGUCCACUGAGGACCUGCAGCUGCUGCCUGCGUAUGUGGAGCGCGCACUGAAGCAGACUAAACCCAACAAGGCUCCUGGACCGGAUCAGAUCUGUGGGCGACUGCUGAAAGGCUGCUGCAGUCAGCUGGCUGGUGUUUUCUGCUCCCUGUUCAACCGUUCUCUGGCGGAGCACUCCAUCCCCUCCAUCUGGAAGUCCUCCAUCAUCUGUCCAGUGGCGAAGAAGAGCAACCCAAGCACCAACAACGACUACCGGCCUGUGGCUUUGACAUCACUGGUCAUGAAGAGCUUUGAAAGGCUCGUCAUGGCCCAGCUGCAGGCUGAUGUGGAUAUGCACUCUGACCCACUGCAAUUUGCCUACCAGCCAAGGAGAGGGGUGGAUGAUGCUGUGCUCACUCUGGUACAUGGUGUCAUCACCCACCUGGAAAAGCCCAAGUCCCAUGUCAGCCUGGUCUUUGUGGAUUUCUCAAGUGCAUUUAACACCGUGCAGCCACAUCUCAUGGGGCGUAAGCUGCUCCAGAUGAAUGCCAACCCCCACCUCAUCCUCUGGGUCCUUUCCUUCCUCACAGGGAGGGAUCAGAGGGUCCGAGUGAAUGGCCACCUCAGUGCUGUCAGAACAAUAUCCACUGGUUC
Molecule: long non-coding RNA, 1183 nt
Filed under: Neogobius melanostomus (round goby)
Lineage: Eukaryota; Metazoa; Chordata; Actinopteri; Gobiiformes; Gobiidae
Description: lncRNA (ENSNMLG00000020156.1)
Source: RNAcentral